Molecule: long non-coding RNA, 20651 nt
Filed under: Oryza sativa (Asian cultivated rice)
Lineage: Eukaryota; Viridiplantae; Streptophyta; Magnoliopsida; Poales; Poaceae
Description: long non-coding RNA (OSAT_LNC001464)
Source: RNAcentral
CCUGCUUAGGUGGAAAUGAAGUGCGGGGAGAUGGGGAGGGGUUGAUGGUGCAUAGCGACGAAGAGGGAGGCAUGUGAAGAGGUUAGAGGGUUAGAGAGUGGAAGGGGUGGAUAGGAGAAGCACAUAAGGGUGGACGCUGCUAAUCUAGAUUUUAGUGGUUGUGGAGUCUCCUCUUGCCUGCACUCGUGCGGUCAAAUCCAACCUGCUCAGGUGGCAGCAAAGUGAGGGGAGAUGGGGAGGGGCCGACAUUGCGUAGGGACGAAGAGGGAGGCACGUGAAAGAGACCGGGCAAGGGAGAGGAAGAUGGCAGAUGGGAGAAGCACAUGAUGGUGGGUGCUGCUAAUCUAGAUUUUGCCUCUUCUCGCCUUUGCUGACUACCACUGCCUUCUCAACAUCGUCGUUGCUGACAAUAUUCUCAUGGGGCUCACGUCUGCUGACCAGAUCUACAAUGCCAACGCACCCUCACCUUGUUGGACCCUAACGUGGCGCUGAUUUUGGCCAUAUGCUCAUCUCCAUCAACUUUAAGGGAGAGAUAGGGGUAGACUAGUAGGAUAUGAAGAAACGACUAAUCAUAUUGUCAUGACCUUGGGUCACUGACAAAUUGGGGAUAGGCGGGAAAGUACAAUUUUCCCUUCCUAUCCUAAAAAAUGAGAUGAGCUCGAAGAGUAAAAUCCCAUGUAUCGUAUGGUAUUAUGAUAUCUCUCAUCUCGUAUUUGAUUACAAGAUUAGGACCGGCUUAUAGCCUUUGGAGGUACAUGUGAGAUUAUAAUCAUACCCCUAAGAGUACAUAAGAAGUUACUAUAAUACCCCUAUAAAGUUAGAAAUUCUAAGGGUAUGGUUGUACAUUUGUAUGGUCCUGAAAUAUCUGGCGCCAGCUUGCAAGAGUGUUGGAGUGGUCCCCGCAGUAUCUUCUUGGGGAAUAUUCCUUGCUCAACGACAUAACCUUCAGGCUUUAUCUGCCCUGGUCGAAUGGUAUUUCCCUCUUGUGGUAGGCUAGAAUACUCUUUUCCAGACUGGACUUCUUGCCGCAUUCACUGGUAUUCUAGUAUUUACCUGCUACAUUAGGUCGAUCGAGAAGUAUUUGCCGCGAGUAAAAACCUCUUUGGCUCUUUGCUAGGUGAGUGAGCAUGUUUCGGUCCAAUAAGGGGAUGGUGUUUGCCUCCUGCUACAACACAUAUCAUGAGUUUAUGUGGGUCCCAUUAGAUAUUUUUAUUUUUUCCGUGAUUGCUAUGUUGGCGCCACAUAGGCUGAAACAAAUGUCCUUUCAAUUCUAAUUGUAAUGCCUCGUAGACAUCACAUAGGAUGAAACCAUUGUCCAAACCGCUCAGAGAGGUAAAACAAACCGGUUUUAAUAAUUGAGGGAGUCUCGGCUGAGGAUGCAAAAUCAGACUGGCUAUAGUCGAGGAAGGCAAAAUAAUUUUUUUUCCUACAAAAAAGUGGGCCAAACACAUACUUUAGACCCAAUCAACUAGAGGCCUAAGCCCAAUCUGGUUCUCAUGGGCUGGAUCAAAUGCACUGCAUCAGGACGCGUUCCCACUGCAGGGUGCAAACACAUGCUCCAUGCUUGCAUGCAGAGAGGACGAGCGUUACUACCAGCUGGAGCUAGGAAACGUACGAAUUGAAGCUGGCAAAUUCCACGUGAAAUUUAAUUAGCUCGAAUGCUACCGUUGCUGAUCAGUGAUCUUUUCGCGAAUUAUUGAUUCUAAUUAUGUGUUUUUGGCAUUUCUUUUUUUUCAAGUUGAAGAUUUACGGCGUGGUUUACAGGAAACUAAUUAAUUAUGCUUAGCUAAGUUGCGAGGUGUCCAAAGGAGGCAGGUAAUUAGUAACGCGCCUGUGCCCUUAAACAGGUAAGCUAGCAGAAUAAAUACCCCCCAUUUCUGGGUUAAUUAGCUUGCAUCCUCAAAUUUGAAAACCAAAGAUGCUUCAAGCUGAUCUUGCUCUCAACAAGUCUCGAUUCAUCCGAGGAGAGAUCACGAACUCGAUCGACGGUGGUAUGUAACUUUCUGAAAUUCUUUUGUCUAGGUUAGAUUAGCCAGAGCUAGCUUUCAGAUCAUAUAGUUUUUACUAGAUCUCUAUAACUGCAAAGAUUAAGUCUGUUCCAAGAUCUGUUUGUUCCAUGGAGUCUUGAGUUGAUUUCAGGAUUUGUCUCAACCUUUUGGCAGGUUAAUUAUAUUAGCGGUAGAGCUAACCUUCAUAUCAUAUGGUUUUUACUAGAUCUAUAGCUGCAAAGAUUAUCUGUUCCAUGGAGUCUUGAGUUGAUUUCAUGGAUUAAUUUGUCUCAAACUUUUGGUAGGUUAUAUUAGCGCUAGAGCUAACCUUCAUUUAUUUGUUCCAAGGUCUAUUUUCAUAUAGUCUUGAGUCACUGCUGGAGAAAGGGGCUUUACUUCCAGUUAAAGUUAUGCAACCGAGGACUAUAAAUCCGAGACUAAAAGUAGACAUCUUUAGUCCCGGUUAAAAUAACCGGGACAAAAGAUAGAUCUUAGUCCCGGUUGUUAUCAUCAACCGGAACUAAUGUUUUUUUUUCUUUUUUUUCUUUUUUCUACUGCUUAGCACCAGGAAUCAUUCAUAAAAUCAUUAACAAAUCAUUCGAGCACCACAAAUCAUUCACAAAAUCCCUAUAAAUACAACAAGCUGCAUUUUCUCUGUUUACCAAAUACAUCACAAAUCUCACAAAAUCACAAAAACAUUUCCAAAAUCUACAACAAAAUUACACAAAUCAUCCACACAUCGCACAUCGCACAAAUCAGAAAAUCAUCCACAUCGCACAGAUCGGGGCGCACAGAAAAUCAUCCACAUCCACACAGUGCGCCGGUCGUCCGCCGCCUCGCCGCCCGCCCGCCCGCGUUGCCGCCUCAGGCUCCGCCGUCACCCGCCGCCUCGCCGGCCUCACCGGCUGCCCGCCCGCCCGCCCACGUUGCCGCCUCGGGCUCUGCCGCCGCCCGGGGAGCGCCACCGCCCGCCGCCUCGCCGGCCGCCCGGAUCUGGGAGGGGGCUCGACCGCCCGCCCGGUCGCCCGCCGCUCCGGUCUGGGAGCGGGCUCGGCUGCCCGUGGCCGCCGCCGCCGGUGGGAGGGGCGAGGGGAGGGGAGGAAGGGGAUGGGGAGGAGAGGGGAGCGCCCAGGGGAGGAGGGCAGGAGGAGGAGGAGGAGGAGGAGGAGAGGGCUGGGAGUGAGAGGAGGAAAGGAAGAGAAGAUAAGAAGAGAAAGAAGAUAAGGUAGAGGGAGAAGAGAUAAGAGAUAGAUUUUUUUCUUAGUACCGGGCGUCUUUCCUCACGCGCUUGAUUUUUCUAAGUCCCUCUCGCGCGCGCUUUUUUUUCGAUCUUUUCUCCUGUUGAUAUAAACAACCGGGAUUAAAUAUCUAAUCUUUAGUUCCGGUUGUUGACAUCAACCGGGACUAAAGAUAAUAGGGUCCCUGCCACGUCUUGAUAUUGAAUGAACCGGGACUAAAGAUGAUUACCAAUCGGGACUAAAAAUCAUCGAAGUUUUAAACUGGGACGAAAAAUGAUCUUUAGUCCCGGUUUGUUCCUAUUCAAACCGGGACUAUUGUGGUUUUGUGCCAACCCAGUAAAGAUGGUUUCUCCAUUAGUGAGUUGAUUUCAGGAUUUGUCUCAAACCUUUUGUUCGGUGUAAAUCAGUCGAUCUUUCAUUGCUUGGAAACGUGUACAGAUCUCAUAUAUAUAGUCCUGACCUGUUUUUUUUUUGUUUCUAUCCAUUUCUUUGUUGAUUUGAAUGGUAGAUUCAUCUUCUUGUUUAGCUCGUUGUCUAGAUCUGUUAGAAGCAGUACGGGCUAUUUUGUAGGAGUACUACUCUCAGUCGCCAGUAGAUCUGUAUAUAUGUAGGGAGCAUGUAGGAUCUGUGAAUGAACUGUUUAAUAUAUUAGGUCUGGGAAAGAACAGAAAGGAUAUGCCAAUCCAUCCAGGGUUUCUAUUAUCUUUCAUACGUAAUACAACCCCGUUUUAAAAUAUAACUAUCUAUUCCCUACCAUCUCACAACUAAUCACAAUCGUUAUCCAUUUAAUUUCUUCACCUACUUUCUCUUCUCAACCAAUUAUAAUUUUUUUUAAAAUUAUUUUCACAUACUUUCUUAAUACUCGUGUCUAUAAAAAAUACUUACAUUUUAGGACGUAGGUACCGUAGUAGCUAGCUAGGACAGAGCGAAUUAAUGAAAUACUGUGUCUUUAAUUAGCAUACAGUUUGCGUUUUUACUAAUUUGUGUGUCACACACACACACAUUUUUAUUACAGUUUAUGUUUCCACUUUGUGUACGUAACACACACACACACACACGGACACACUCUGUGUGCAUAUAUAUAGAUACACCUAGCUAGCUCUCUCUGGUUCAGUCCACAUACAGAUAUAUGUAAGCUUUUAUUUCAUAACAGCGAAUUUUAAUAUAUAUGUCUGGCAUGGUUUAUCUAAAUUUUUACCCUUAGCAAUUAUGAUAUAUAUAUGUGGCACAUCUAUUGCCUGAAUUUGGUGCCUAUACACAUCAUAUUUUCAUCAUUGUUUACACUGAAUGGGAACAAAAUGAUUUUUCAGAUGGCAUCAAUGAAGCAAGAGAAGGAUGCUAGAAUUAUAGUUCUAGCAUUAGCGGCACCUGUAACUAAAUUCAAGCCUCCCCAAACGAGAAAAAGGAAUAAAGCUUCUUCAUCCAAUCAUGCCAAAUCAAAAAGGGCAUCGACUGAUGGACCUUCAGGUAUGUGAUCAUGAAUCUUUGUGAUUGAAUGUUUCAUCCUUGCAAAAAACAAAAAGGGUAAAAAAGAAAAAAAAAGAGAGUCCAUAUAUAUUGCCAGUAGUUUUCAUAAAACAAAAACUAUUUUUUUUUCUUUUUUUACCCUUUUUUUAACAGUAUAGAUAGUGAAAACUGAAAACUACUAAUUAAGUGGUACAAUACUUUUUCUAGGUAUCAUCAAGCUGAAGGAAUCAACAACAUUUGCUCAUGGCAAAGACCAAAUUAUGGAGGAAGCAACUGGUAAUUUGUAAAUUAUAAACUAAUUGUGAUUGAGAUAUUAGGAAGUAAAUGAAGUUGAAUAAUAACCAAAGUCUUCCAUAAAAAAACUGUUAUCUUUCUUUGGCUUUUUGCAGACUUUGUGCACCAAAUUGGCACUGUGAACAACAUACAACAAAACCAGGAGGAGCCAGCAGGUGAACAAUUGUAACUCAUCCAUGCAGAUUAAUUUGUACUCCCUCCGUUUCACAAUGUAAGUCAUUCUAGCAUUUCCAAUAUUCAUAUUGAUGUUAAUGAAUCUAUACAUAUCAAUAUGAAUAUUGGAAAUGCUAGAAUGACUUACAUUGUGAAACGGAGGAAGUAGCAUUUUAGCAAAUGCGGGAAGUUUUAAAUAACAAAGUGGCAUAUAUAUAUAUAUAUAUAUAUAUAUAUAUAUAUAUAUAUAUAUAUAUAUAUAUAUAUAUAUAAUGUUUCUAUAGGGUUAAAUCAACAGCAGCCUGCUUACCUAGGCCUUGCACAUGGUGGACCACAAAUUCCACUGGAAGCAGCAGGUACAUCUAUUCUUAGAAAUAUGCUCCAAACAACAGUAUGUUGGAUUAAAUAAUUUAAUAUAUAGAAACUGAAUUUUUCUGCUAAGAUAAUUUUCUGUAGAUAUAGGUCUCACUCUGCAACAAAAAAUAUGAAUCAGUCACAGAAAAAUGCAGAGAAAUCAAUAAGUACAGUUUUUUUUAACAGUAUAUAUAGUGAAAAUUGAAAACUAGUAAUUAAGUGGUAUAAUAUUUUUCCUAGGUAUCACCAUGCUGCAGGAAUCAACCACUGCAAAUGGCAUAGCUCAAAUUAUGGAGGAAGAAACUGGUAAUUUGUAAAAUUAUAAACUAGUAGUAAUUCUGAUUGAGAGAUAUAAGAAAGUAAAUGAAGUUGAAUACUAGCUAGUCAAUAGUCUUCCAUUAAAAAACUAAUAAAUAGUCCAUGUGAAGUUUCUUUUCAUAUAACAUAUGCAUCUUUCUUUGGCUUUGUGCACCAAACAGACACUGAUGACAACGUACAACAAAACAAGGAGGAGCCAGCAGGUAAGCAAUUGUGUAACUCAUCCAUGCAUAUUUGGAGCAUUUAGCAAAUGCAGUUUGAAAUAAGAAAGAUGUUUAUAUAAUGUUUCUCCAGGGUUAAAUCAGCAGCAGCCUGACCUAGGCCUUGCAGAUGUACCACAAAUUCCAGAGGAAGCAGCUCCAGGUACUUUAAUAUGUGUUAGUUUCCUCUUGUCUCCCGACACGGAAAACCAAGCACGCAAUUAUAGUGAGAUUAAUUAAGUAUUAAUCUAAAAUAUUUGAAAAAUAGAUUAAUAUAAUUUUUUAAAGCAACUUUCAUAUAGAAAAUUUUUGCAAAAAAUACACCGUUUAGCAGUUUGAAAAGCGUGCGUGGAAAUCGAGGGAAGUGAGUUGGGAAAAGGGAGAAAAGAACACAGCCUAUUUGUUUAAAGAUGAAGCCAUUUAACUUGUUAGGCAUAGAUGAUACUUCCUCCGUUUCACAAUGUAAGACUUUCAAGCAUUGCCUACAUUCAUUUAGAUGUUAAUGAAUCUAGAUAUGUGUGUGUAUAUAUAUAUAUAUAUAUGUUUAGAUUCAUUAACAUCUAUAUGUAUGUGAGCAAUGCUAGAAAGUCUUACGUUGUGAAAUGGAGGGAGUAUCAUACAUGAUUAUUUGCUUCCACACUUUCCAUGUACUUUUGAAUUUUGAUGGUUAUGAUAGUUAAUUAAAACUAACAUCUUAGGAAAAUGUUCUCUACAUUUUUCAGUAACAUUAUUUUUUUUCAUCACGAAUAUCCCCAAUCAAUUGUAUGCACGUUUAUAUAUGUCAUGUUUAUUAAUAAGUUUUGUCAAAUAUAUAGGUCCAGCUGAUCCUAAUGAAGAUGUAAACGAUGUGUUUGAGUUCGCCCUCAACAACAAUGUAUUGGAUCUGUAAUAGCUCAACAAUAAUGCUCCAGACCUAUCCAGCCGCGCGAACAAAUAUGAACUAUUUUUUAAGCAACAAUUUUAGUGCAUGGAGGACACAAUAUGUCUAGAGAAACAAUGUUGAACUUUGCCUGUCUGGAUGCAUAAAUCUCUGUUAUCCGAAGAAAUUGUGCAUGUUAAUUACCUCUUGAAACUUGUUAUAGUUGAACUCUGUUUGCAGACGAGAGUUUGGAUUAAUUUAUUAUGUUCCUGCUGGCUAUCAUUUUGUAAGGGUACUGCCAUGGAUAUUCCAAUAAGUAUGUUAAUUGGCUAGCUACUACUACUAGGAAGAUUAAUUUCAUAGAUUCAUAGGUGCCUUUCAUGUCAUUUCCAUGAUUGUAAGUAAAUUCAUUGGCACAUAACUGCAUGUACUCAGCUAAUAAGGCAGAAUAAUAUAAUUUGUCAUCCCGAACUCCUCAGCAUACUCAUCAUAUGUUACUGUCCAUUAGAACAUGUCUCACGAUUUUGAUGUUCUCUGUUGCAAAAUAAUAAGUUAGAAUAUAAUUAAUACAUGGCACAACUACUUGUCAAUCGUGAUGAUGAAUAAGUCCCGGAGAGAUUAGCUAGUAGAGAUCGGACAAAGAAAGUUGGAGAAUGCAGUAGUUAGUAGGCGGCCGAUCGAUCCGGUGAGCUUUUGAAAUGAGGCCAAUGUUACAUCGAACGUUCGAACACCUGCAUGAAGUAUUAAAUAUAGGCUAAACAAAUAACUAAUUGCACAGAUUGCGACUAAUUUGCGAGACGAAUUUUUUAAGCCUAAUUGCUUCAUGAUUUGACAAUGUGGUGCUACAGUAAACAUUUACUAAUGACGGAUUAAUUAGGAUUAAUAAAUUCGUCUCGCGGUUUAUUAACGGAUUCUGUAAUUAGUUUUUUUAUUAGUGGCCGAACACCCCAUGCAACACCCUAUAUAAUACCCGAUGUGACACACCUAAAUUUUACAUCCCUAAUGUAUAACACCGUUAAUAUUUUUUGACCAUUCGUCCUAUUUAAAUAUUUUAAACAUACUAGAUAUAAGUACUCAUGUUUAAAGAAUUUUUAGUGAUAAAUCAAAUCACAACCAAAUAAGUGAUAGUUAUAUAAACUUUUUUAAUAAGAUAAAUGAUCCAACUUAUCAAAUCAAUAACAUUAUAUAUUUAAACGAUAAAGGUAGUAAUUAAUUAGUCGGCCACGCCCUGUUUCUGGGAGACAACAUGAGAAGACAACACUGCUGGAGAAUGCAUCUACACUCCCGGUUCGCAACCCCUUUAAUCCCGGGUAUGCAACCGGGACCACGAAUUCGGAACUAAAAUGCUCAUCUUUAGUCCCGGUUGAAACAACCGGGACUAAAGAGGUAGUGUCACGUGGCCGGUGCUACCAUCUUUAGUCUCGGUUGGUGUUACCAACCGAGACUAAAGUUUUUUUAUUGUUCUUUGCUGUUUGCAUAUUGAUUUCUAACCAAACUCAACAAUAAAAUCAUCCACAUUCACAUAAACAUUACAAAAUUAUCCAUAAAUUCACAGAUCGAAUUAACAUCACAAAUUUACAGAUCCAAACACAUCACAUUGCCAGGCCACCGCUGCCACUGCCCCCGCGCGGGCCGCCGAUGCCACCUCCACGCCCACGCCAGGCCAUCAUCGCUGCACUAGGCCGCCGCCCCCGUGCCAGGCCGCCGCCGCCCCCGUGCCGCGCCAGGCCGCCGCUUCGCUACUGCUUCUGCAAGGAAUGAGAGAGUGGAUAAGAGCAAGAAAAUAGGAGAGGAUAAGAGAGAGAGGAGAGGGGGAGAGGAGGAAGAUGAGGAGAAAGACUUUGAGAUAGAGGAUUUGAGGAUAAGUCCGAGGGACUAUAUACGAUGGGUUGAAUUUUAGUCCUGAUUGGUAAUAUUAACCGGGACUAAAAGUAGUAAGGGGCCACACGCUUUUUUAACCGGGACUAAAAAUGUUCUUUAGUCCCGGUUUCAAUUGGAAGCGGGACUAAUGUGGUUUUUGGCGAAGCAAGGUGUGAAUCAAUCCACUAGCCCAUCCAAUUAAAUGUAGUAUAGUAUUCAUCAAGACCAGUUUGGAGGAGAUGAUCCAGUCGCUAGCUCAGCAUCUUAUUAUUGACCACUUCAGAAUCAUCAAGUGUCACACGAUAUACAUAUGCAGUAAUGCAAGCAUUCCUUCCAUGGCCAAAGCAUUAGCUCCAUCUAGAUCUGCACAACAAGCAUCUGACAACUACUCAGUACAACUUCUGCAGAUUCUUUAGAUCAGUAGCAAAAUUAGUUCAAUCAACCCUUAAGAUGUCCUCCUCCAACUCCUUUUAGAACAUAUCGCUUUUAUCGCUUUGGUCGCUUCUCAGGGUUUUUUUUUGAACUUUUAAAAUUUUUAAUUUAGAAACAAACCCUUUUAAAACUUAUUUUCAAGUCCGAACCUUUUGGUUACGCCAGCCGGACUGACGUGGCAAAACAACACUGUUAUGCCGAUCUGGCUGGCAUGACAAUAUUAUUUGACCACACCACCCUCGCUGGCAUAACAGGAUAAAACUGUCACGCCGAUUGUGUGUAGUGUGUCAGUGUUGUUUUGCCACGCUAGGUAAGCGGGUGUGGCCAAAAGGUUCUGAUUUGAAAAAUAAGUUUUGGAAGGGUUUAUUUUUAAAAUUAAAAAAGGUUGAAAAAAAAAUCCUUCUCAGGCCAUGACUUUCGAUCCUCGCCCUCUCUAGGAUUUUUGUGUUACCAACAAGGUCUCGUUGGAACCCGAUGGGCCUCCACGCCGGGUCCGUCUUUGAGUAGGAGUACCGGAAGUUGAACGGGAGGUCGGAGCGCACCAGCUCCGGUUGCUUGAUACUGCCGCCCUGGUUCUUCUUCUUCGUCGCAUGUGCAGGCUUAGAGGCAGGUCGAGGCGGGCACUCCGUGACCCGUGUGAACGGAGGGUCAUCGUCGGGAUCGGAGAAGGACGGUGCUCGGUGGUAGAGGCGGCGGGCGAGGGCUUUGAAUGGUGGUUUUAUCCUAUGCGGUUCAUACGUGGCAUUAUUAUACAAAUAAAAGUGAUAGUGAUUUCAUCAUACGUAAUAUGUCUAUGUAGCAUUACAAUAACAGAGAAAAUAAAAACCUUAAUGGGAUCCACUUGACAGUAAGUCGCCACUCCGCCAUCCUCAUCUUCUUUCUCCAACUCCCCUUAUCCUCUCUCUGCCAUAUGUUCUGGUCUUCCCUCUCUCUCCUUCAUUUAAACAACAUAGUUGAGGGGCAACGAUGUGUCUUUAUAAAUGUGCAUGCGAGUGGUGGUAGAUGAAGAGGCGCCAUUGUCGGAUCAUGGUGCCGCGAAGUGGGGGAGAGCGGGAGGGAGGCGAGCAUCGUAGAGUGGAGCUUGAGGAGCUGUGGGGCGGCACUUGUGGGGUUCAAGCUCUAGAUUGAGUGGCCUGCCAAUGGAGACGGUCUAGAGGUAGCGACGGUAAAACCAUGACCUGGGCAGUGCAAGCGGGUCGCCUUGACACCGUCUCGUCUACGGCUGUUAUCAUUGGGGGCUCAUCCAUUCCAUGCCCAUGUAGUUAGGUUUGGCCUGCUCGGGUGGUGGCGAGGCGAGGGAAAAUGGGUAGGGGCCGACAGUGCAUAGGAAUGGACAGGCAGGCAGAUAGAGAGAGAGAGAGAGGGGAUAGGGCAAGUGAGAGGAAGGGGUUAGAGGAGCACAUGAUGGAGGGCACUAUUGUAGAUUCUAGUCUCUUCUCUUCAUUGACUUUGCCUCGCCUUCGCCGACCACUGGUUGUUCAACACCUGCCGUUUGCUCAAUAUCUGCCUCUCUUUGCACACAUGCCAGCACCUGCCUAGCUCGCCUUUGCCGACUGCCGCCGCUGCUCGCUCAACAACUUUGUCGCCUAUGGCAUCUUCAUGGGGGCUCGUAUCCACUGACCAGAUAUGUGACACCAACACCCUCGUCUCCACGAACCCUGAUGCGCUGCUUGACUCUAGUCAAACGCUGGUCUACUUCAACUUUGAGGAAGAGAUUGGGGAGAGAGGGGUUAGACUAGUAUAAGAGGAAGAAGAGGCUAUGCCACUUACCUGUAGGAAGAACAUUGUUUUUUCUCAUGUACUUGUAAUGCCACAUUGGCACCCCACAUGAUGAAACCAAUGUCCUUUCUGAUUGUAAUGUCAUAUAAACAUCAUAUAGGAUGAAACCACCGUCUAAACCGCCCAAAGAACGAACCACUUUUAAUAGUUGACUGGUUUUCACUAGUACAACAACGAUUUUUCCGUGCGGUCGAAAUUUAAUUUUGCGUGCGAAUCUUCCGCCCGUCUAGAACGAAGCGUCACCCGCACACGAAAAUUGGUUUUUCGCGUGCGCCGCACGAGAAAAAUAAAAAAAAUCAAAACAAAAAAAAGAAAAUCAAAAUCCUAACCCUAAUCCAGCCACCGCCGUCCUAGCCGAGGCCCACCGUCGUUGAUGGAUCCAGACACCGAGACCGUUGUCGCCACCGCCGUCGACGUCAUCGCCGCCGCCCUGCUCGAGGCCCGCCACCGUCGUCGUCGCCACCCUGCCCGAGGCCCGUCACCGUCGUCCCCACGGUGGCUGGCAACGGAUCCGCCCCGUCGCCACCACCCUAGCCAAUGCCGCCGCCGCACUCGCCGAUGCCGCCGCCACCAUCGAUGCCUCCGCCGCUCUCGCUGAUGUCGCCCUCGCCGACACCGCUGCCACCGCCGCCCUAGCUGAGGUGGCCGCCGUUGCUGGGAGGUGGGUAGAGGGGGAGUGGGAGAGGGAGACGGUAGAGGGGAGAUAGAGAGAUAAAGUGAGAGGGAGAGGAGAUAAAGUGGGUGGAGGAGUGAGCAGUGGGAGACAGAGAGGGAGUGGAGGCGCGAAGGCCGACGCGGAAAUAAAGUGAGGAGUGGGAGGAGAUAGGAGGGGAGAUAAAGUGGUGUGGGCUAUUUUUGCGUGCGGGUCACUUAACAAACCCGUAAGCGAAAAUAAUCCUAUUGUCGCGUGCGGGUCUGUUAAGAGACCCGACUGAGAAAAUCGAUUUUUCCGUGCAAUCCUUUCAAGGAGCCGCACGUGAAAAUGGAUGAUGAUUUUUGCAGACGCGACCAGUUAUGGUCCGCACGAGAAAAUAAGAGCUCCUGUACAGGAAAAUCAUUUUUUUAAGUAGUGUUUACGAUUUAGGGAGCAAAAUCAGACCAGAAUAUAGUUGAGGUAGACAAGGAAUAAGUCCACUUUCCCUCCCUCAACUCUUGGCCUUAUAUGAAUAGCAUCCCUCAACCGCAAAACCGGGUAUAACUCAUCCCCCAACUCUGAAAACCGUUGCAAAUCAACUCCCCGGACGGUUUUGGAUGCAGUUUUGUCCUACGUGGCAAUUGGCUUGCUUAUGUGGCAGUUCACUUGCUAAGUCAUCUAGCGGGACCCACAUGUCAGCAGUCUCCACCUCAUCUCAUCUUCUCCCUCACCAUGAUUCCCUUCAAGAAACGGGAAAGGAAAAAAUCAAGAAGCGGAGGCGAGGCGAUAGAAUCGACCAGCAAGAUCAACGGCAAGACAAGUAGCACAUGGUGGUUGCCGAAUUCAGAGAAGACGCCGGCGAUCACGCGAAACAAGAAAGGGGAACAAACAGAACAAAUCAGAGACCACGAAAUCGUCGAAGAACACGAGCAAACAUCAAACAAGCUAGCGGAGUUCUUCUGGCGUGCGCACGACGCGGAGCGGGUGUCCGCCAUGCGCAGCUGCGGGCAAUGCCGCUGUCGUCCCCGUGCCGGAGCCUCUCCGUCCUCAUGCUGCAGCACAACCCGGUGCUCGGCGACAUCCCCAGUGGCUUCCUUCUCGGACGGCCGGUGAGCUAUUUCCUUGUGCGCGGACGGCCGGCGAGCUUCUCCCACGUGCGGACGGCCGGCAAGCUCCUCCCCCGCGCGCCGCCGGCCGGUGAGAUCCUCCCCGCGCGCGGACGGCCGGCGAGAUCCUCCCCCGCGUGCUGCCGGCCGACGAGAUCCUCCCCGCGCGAGGACGGCCGGCGAGAUCCUCCACACGCGCGGGCGGCCGACGACUUAGAGGGGCUGCCUCGUCCUCCACGACCCCCUCUCAGACGAUGCCCCGGCGCCCUCCCGCCUCCUCUGCGUGCUCGAGCCGGGCCGCUCCCUCACGCGCGCGGCGCGGCCAGCCGACGAGCUCGUCCCCCAUGCGCCGUUGUCGCCGCCCUGCUGAUAGAAGGUGAGAGGAGGAAGAUAUGAAAGAGAAAGAGGGGAAGAGAUGAGGGAGAAGAUGAGAUGAGGUGGAGACUGCUGACAUGUGGGUUCCGCUUGAUGACUCAGCAGGUCAACUGUCACAUAAGUAAGUCAAUUGCCACUUAGGAUAAAAGUGCCUCCAAAACUGCCCGGGGAGUUGAUUUGCAACGGUUUUCGAAGUUGGGGGAUGGGUUAUACCCAGUUUUGCGGUUGAGGAAUGCUAUUCAUACACGGCCAUGAGUUGAGGGAGGAAAAGUAGACUUAUUCCGGUUGACAAAAUAUAUAUUUUUCCAACAGAAAAUGGGCCAAACACACACUUUAGGUCCAAUUAGCUAAAGGCCGAAGCCCAAGUUGGUUCUCUUCAUUGGCCGGAUCAAAUGCAUUGCACCAGGACGCGUUCACAUGCUCCAUGCGUUUGCAUGCAUGCGUCCGGAGAGGACGAACGUUACUACCAGCUGGAGCUAGGAAACAAAAGCUGUUAAAUUCCACGUGAAAUUUAGCUCGAAUACUACCGCUGCUGAGUGAUCUUUUCUCGAAUUAUUCUAAUAUGUUUUGGACACUUUUUCAAAAGAUUUUUUUUUCUUCACGAACGAAUAAACGAUUUGUGCUUCGAUGUAUUAGAAGGAAGCCUAAGAAAUCCUACCAAACAACAAACUCCUAAAAUGAACAGGAAUGAGGGUGCUAUUUCAAAUGAUUUACCGCGUGGUUUUUACAGGAAAUUAAUUAAUUGCGCUUAGCUAGCUAUGGGCAUCCAAAGAAGGCAGGUAAUUAACAAGGCGUUUGUGCCCUCAAACAAGUAAGCAUAAAUACCCCCAUUUCUUGGUUUGCAUAUCGUCAAAUUCAAAAGCCAGAGAAGCUUUGAACCUCUUGCCCUCAAGAGAAGUCUCGAUUCAUCGGAGGAUCAGAAGAGACGAUGAAACGCGGCGGCCGCCAAGCAAGGGAGAUCCCUCGAUCUCCAGAGGUAUGCAACUUUUCUGAAAUUCUUUCGUUGUCUAGGUUAGAUUAGCUAGAGCUAAAUCUUCAUAUGGUUUCUAGUUUGUUUUACUAGAUCUAUAGCUGCAAAAGAUUAUUUGUUCCAAGAUCUAUUUCCAUGGGAGUCUUGAGAGAUUUCAUGGUUUGUCUCAACCUUUUGGUAGGGUACGUACGGUAUAAAUCGAUUGAUUUUUCAUUGUUUGGAGACGUACAGAUUCGUAUAUAUGCUACCCCUGUUCAUUUGCUGUUUUGCUUAUUAAUAUCUCCAUUUCUCUGUUGAUUUGAUCGAAUGGUAGAUUCAUCUUAGUAUCUAGUUCGUUGUGUAGAUCUAUUGGACGUUUUACGGGCUAUUUUCUACUCAGCAGAUCUGCAUAUAUAGGAGCUUGUAGGAUUUGUGAAUGAACAGAAGAAGGAUAUUCCUAUCCAUCUAGGGUUUUCUAUCUAGUAUCCUACAUAUAUACACCUAUAGCUAGGACAGAUAGAGAAGAAUGAAAUGCUAAACACACAAACACACACACACACACACAAAAUAGUUUGUGUUUUCACUAAUUUGUGUGUCACACAAACACACUCGCACACGGUUCAGUGCACAUAAAUACAAAUAGUCUUUUAUUUCAUAACAAUGAAUUUAAAUAUGGUUAAUAUGAUUUAUUACUUUUCACCCUUAGUUUAGUUCAGUAUCUUGGCUCGAAUUUUUUCUCUAUAUAUGCACAUUAUUAUAUUUUCAUCACACUAAUUGGUAAAAGAAAAAUGAUUUUCAGAUGGCAUCAUCAUCAUCAAUGAAGCAAGAGAAGGACAAUACGAUUAUUGUUCAAGCAUUAGCAGCACCUGGAAGUAAUUUCAGACCACCCCAAACGAGGAAACGGAAUAGAACUUCUUCAUCCAAUGGUGCGAAAUCAAAAGUGGCAUCGACCACUGGAUCUUCAGGUAUAUAUGUGAUGCAUGAAUCUGUGUGAUUGAGUUCUUGUGUGUGUGUGUGUCUAUAUAUAUAUAUAUAUGUAUGUAUAUAUAUAUAUAUGUAUAUAUCUGUGUAUAUAUAUGUAUAUGUAUAUAUAUGUAUAUAUAUGUAUAUAUAUAUAUGUAUAUAUAUAUAUAUAUAUAUAUAAAUUUUACUAUAUAUAUAUAUAUAUUAAUGCAAAGUUAUAAUAAUAAUAAUAAUCAAGGUCACAUAUCAAGUAAAAAAAACGUAAAGUGAAAACGAACAGACCUUGUAACACACACAUGUCCCAUUUUGAUUUACUUUCUUUGUUUAAACGUGAAGCUACUUAACUUGUUAGGGAUAGAUGAUAUCAUAUACAUGCAUGAUUAGUUGCUUUUCCACACUUUCCAUGUACUUUUGAUGGUUAUAAUAGUUGAUUGAAACUAACAUCGCAGGAAAAUGUUCUCUACAUUUUUCAGUAGCAUUAUUAUUUUUCCAUCAUGAAUAUCCCUCGUCAAUUGUAUGCACAUUUGUAUAUAUGUCAUAUUUAUUAAUAAGUUUUUUUUCACACAUAUAGGUCCAGCUAAUCCUGAAGAUAUGAACGAUGUAUUUGAGUUCGCCCUGAACAACAGUAUAUUGGAUCUGUAGUAGACUAGUAGCUCAACAACAAUGCUCUAGACCUGUCCAUCCAUUUGAAGCUACAAACAAACAUGAGCUAUUUUAUUAGCAACAAUUUUACUGUUUUAGUGCCUAGAGGACACAAGGUCUAGAGAAACAAUGUUGAACUUUGUCUAUCUCUGGAUCCAUAAGUCUGUUGUCUGAAGAAAUUAUGCAUGUUAAUUACUUUUUGAAACAUGCUCUAGUUUUUGUUAAAUGUGAAGAACUCUCUUAGCAGAUGAGGUUGGGUUAAUUUAUUGUGUUCCUGGUGGCUAUUAUUUUUUGAGGGUAUUAUAUAUCAUGGAUAUUCCAAUAAGUAUGUUGAGAUGAUCUGCAAGUUUCAUCACAUUUUACAUGGUGAUAUUUAAGCCGACCUAGCUAGUUUUUUCUCUCAGUAGCUUUUUGAAGGUUAAUUGGCUACUAGGAAGAUUUCAUAGAUUCAUAGAUGCCUUUCAUGUCAUUUUCGUCCUUGUCAGUAAAUCCACACAACUGCAUGUACUCAGCUAAUUGGGCUAGAAAUUUCUCAGCACACUCAUAUAUAUGCUACUCUCCCUUGAGAACAUCAUGUCUCACAAUUUUGAUGUUCUCUGUUGUAAUAAAAAAAAGUUAGAACAACGCAUUCUCUAUUGAAUUAAGGGUUAGAAUUAAUAUAAUACACAUGGUACAAUUACUUGUCAGAAGACUCAGAAGCUAUAUGUAUUCAUGGCCUGCUUGGACCAGAUAAAGAAAAGAGCAGUAAGAAAGGAGAACGUACGAGUAGUUAGGAGGCUGCCGAGAUCGAUCCAGUUAGGUUUUCAACUGAAUUAAUCGAAGUACGCUUGGCUUGAAACUGUCUUAGGCAGCUGCAGGUUGAAUUGUUAAUUAAGUGCAAUAUUAUUGUUGUUAUCAACUUAGUUCCUUUUCAAUUUGCCAUAUUUGGGAUGUGGCCGGAUACCUGGAUACCUGAAGACCAUUGAAAAAUUAAAAGUGCCAUAUGGAUCAAAGAUACGAAAGGGACUAGUAUACAUUACAUCUAUAUACUUACUUAAAAAAUAGGUAAGGCUUCCGAUCGUCCGUUUCGUCAGUCGUCGUCGUGUGAGUCCGAGUCUGUCUUUUUUUAAAAAAAAAAUCCCCGAGCAGAUCAGCCUCCCAACUCGGAACUAAAAUCCAAAUCAACAUCCCAAAUCGGAACUAAAAUCCAAAUCCUAACCCUAGCCGUCUCCUGGAGCCGCCCUCCUCGUGGCCGCCGUCGUCGUCAUCACCAUUGUCGCCGCCGUCGUCCGCCGUCGUCGGCAUCGCCGCCUUCCGCCGCGACCGGCUCCCGGCCGCGUCGCCACACCGGGGGAGGAGGAGCAGCAGCCGCUGAGCCCACAUGCGGUCGCCGUCGACGUGUCGGAACUCGAAACUAACAACUUGGAUCCGACGUAAAUUAAUGUAUCAAUCCCUGGAUCAGUAGAUAUUGAUACAUACAAUAUAAUUGGUUCUUCAUUGCAUACGUUAAAGUUUUACAAUAGUAAGGGUUUUACAAUAAUAGGUACUCACCUAACUAUUUAAUACAUAGCGGAAGUUCUAGUACAUUCUGACUAGGAAGAAGGUAUAACCUUUAGGGCCGGGUUUUCUAAAUUAUCGGGGUCAUCGUAGUAAUAGUCAUAAGGGUCCUCCUCUUGACCCAAAUCUGAAAAAGGGGUUAUAAGAGCAAGGAUGAGUAUUCGCAAUACUCAGCAAGUUAUCAUGGAAAUAUGUUAUGCAUUAAUAUAUAGUAGGGUUCUUUGCAAAAAGCAGUAAUAAAUAAUCUGGAAGAGUUAUAGCAAGAAUUUAUAAAACAUAUAGACUUUAGAUUUCUAACCAGGGUACCAUAUGAGUCCCGGUACUCAAUUCCAUGAGUACGGCUAUUCGAAUAGUUUCAAAAAUAUUCUACUGCAGCAGAUGUACGCUUUACCCGCAGUCCACGACUUGCUGAUAAUCAUCGGCUUUAGUCAUGGCACGGUAUUAGGUUAUUAACAAUUGUGGCAUCUGUUCCAUGAACUUAUAUCCUCAUAUGCUCUGAACGUAAUGUUACCAGGAGCAAGAGGAGUUCUGGCGUUCCUGAGGUAUUUAAGGGGAACUGAUCGUAUGACACCACGUCAUCUCGAUCAGGGUUUAGAAAUAUACCAUAAAUAUAAUUGAGCUCAACAAACCAAUUACCUGUACAUGGUAAUGGUAUAAAUUGCCCUUCGCGGCUAUAGUUGCCUCCUGCGCGAGGACUUAAAAAUAAGAACCACUUUACUGAGGUGCCAUAUUGCUAAUUAACAUAAUAACUAGGUCUGUCCCCAUUUUAGAAACUGCAGUCGUACCCGUUCGUUUGACAUAAGUACCUGGUAAAAACUAUAUCGAUCGAGACAGUACUAGCCACCCGAAAAUCAUCCAAAUCUUACGUACUGUCCCAAUCUAAGUAUAAGGUAUUUUAACCAGAUUGUAAACAAAAUAAGCAAUACUAAAUUGUCUGGGUUUCUAUGAUUGAUUUAUGCAUAGAAAAUAGAAUAUUGAAUAGAAGGCUAUAAAUAAAUAAUUUAUAAAAUAUAGGCUUAAAUGAUUAAAAGGUAUAUGGUAACUUGCCUUGCUCGAUGUCCUGAGAUUGAUCGAUAUUAUCUAUUGAGUCAGAAGAAUCCUCAAGACCUAGGGUUAGACAUAUAAGAUUCAAAUUCAAAAGGAGUUCAAAUAAAAUCCAAAAAUAAGAAAAAUGGAGAAAAUAAAAUAAAAUGCAAAAAUAGCAAAAAGGGGCUCAAAAGAUAGAGAAUGAUUUUAGAAGAAUAUUGGUCUAAGUUUCACUGGAAUUGGAUCUAUAUUUUAAAAGAUAUGGGCUUAUAAAGUUUGAAAAUUAAAUAAAAGUGAAAUGUUACUGUGUGCGGGUCCAGCCUGUCAGUCUCUCUCUCUCUCUUCUCUUCUUCUACCUCCGGCCAUUCCCCAAAUCGGGCCGGCGGUGCUAGGGUUGGUGAUUGCAGCGGCGAUGGAGGGGGAAAGUGGUUGCGGCCGAAGAGGGGAGGGAGCUAGGGUUCUUCGGCGACGGCGAGCGGCGGCAGAGGGAUUAAUUUGAUGCAUGGAUGGGCUAGUGGCUAGGGCAGCAGUGGCACGGUUAGGCCGUGAUGGUGAUCAAGAUGAUAUGAGUUAGACAUGGCUAGGGGAGGGGUUCUAGAGCAUCUACGAGGUACCUAGAUGGAUUCCGACAGCUUGCCAUCCUUUGGCAAGGCGCGGAGAAUAGUUGCUGAUAGGCAUCUCCAUUGGCGGCGGCCGUGCUCACGUCGGCAGCUCAGAGGGUGGAAUGAUAGUGAAAAAGGAUUGCUAAAAUGGAAUCUAGGUAAUAUGUAGAUGGUUGAAACGGAAGAACUCAUCGAGAUAUGUCGAGAUGAAGGAUUGUGGCCGGAAAAACUCCUCGGCGGUGAAGAACAGAGCAGCGCAGGGGCAGCGGUGCUCGGCUUGGUGCGGCGAGGUAAACCUCGACGCAGGGCUUUGGUUAGGGUCUAAUAUACUAGAACAUGGUUGAUAUAAGGUGUUCUAAGGGAUAUUUAGGGCAGAGGAUGGAUGGAGAGGUGUGGAGUCGAUCGUGCACAAGGUGUUCGACCGACGGGCAAUGGUGGUUGAUGAGAUGGAUUGGUGAGGCAGAGCUUCAGUGUUGUGGGGUUAUGGUUGCUGAUGAUCGAUGAUGGACAAGGAAGGGAUUGGGGUCCUAUUUAUAGGGCUAGAAGAAGUGGAUGAGCUCGGGCACCGUCAUCGCCAUGGAUGAGCUCGAUCUUUGGAUAGGGCUAGGGCGGCAGAGGCUGUGAGAGGGCGGCCAAGAUCAAUUUGAGUGGCGGGAGGCCACGUUUGAAUACUUACCGGCGAAGGAUUGGCUUGACCGCGUGCGAAUUCGGCUGGUGACGUGUUGGCGCCAAUCCAAGCGCGACGCGUGGCGGCGGCGAUGGUGAAAACGGCCGACUCGGGGGUGAAUGGUUUGAAUUGUGAGAGGGGAUACCACCGUCUAUCUUCAAUCCAACCGUGCGGCAAAAAUUGGCGCGAUUCACCCCGGGUAGAAUCAAAAUCGGACUCGGCGGCGGCUUUGGACGGGCGCGCACGGCGUCGAGCGGCGAUUUCUUGCGGCGGUCGUCGUUCCGGCUUUGUUGUCAUCAAGAUUGGUACGGCGAUGAUGGUUUGAGGGCGUCGAAUGGCUAGCGGCGCGCCAAGGCGAUCGGGCACGCGCGAUCGAUCCCGAGACCGACGCGCGACGGCUCGGCGCACGGUGAAGUCAGACGCUAGAGAGCGCGCAUAAAGGGGAGGAAGUAGCAAAGAGAUCCACGGUAUUUGAGUGGGAUGUGGUCCCCUAGGAUCAAUUCUAUACUUUGUGCAAGAUUGGAUAGGGAUUGGGCUGUGUUAGUUGGGCUAGGCAUUCUACCGAACACCUUGAAGGCAAAGAACAGUGUUUUUUCAGAAAUUUUGAAUAUUUCCCUAGGAAAAGAAUCAAUUUAAUCUAUGAAUUUGGAAGGGUUUCACUAGGGUUUGGAGUAAAGCAAAUCCUCACUAAUAUUAGGGUAAGUUAAGGAAAUACUCUAUAGUUUGAAAUUUGAGAGAAUUUGCUCAAAUUCACUAAGGUUUGGAAUAAAGGGAAUAAUUAGAGUAAAUUAAUAGGGUUCUAAAGAAGUAAUACUUGAACCAAUUUAAGAAUCAAAUAGAUUUUUAAAACACACUAAUUUAAUCAAAAGCCAGCAUGAUGCAGUCUAAUUUUAGUUUAAAAAUUUGAGGAUGUUACAUGACACCACCACCGCCGUCAGAUCCGCCGCAGGAGGGAGGCGAGAGGGGUCGGAGGGAGCCGCCGCCGCCCGGUCCGUCCUCAGCCGCCACCACCGCGGCCGGAUCCACCCACGGUCGCCGCCGACGCUGCUGUCGCCGGAUCCAUCGCGCGAGGGAGGCGAGAGAGGGGGGGAGGGGGGCGAUCGGCGCUGCUGGGGAGGGGGAGAGGUGCCGCCGGGGAAGGGGAGGGGGAUGGGAUAGGGGAGGGGGAGAGGCGCUGCCGGAGAGGGGGAGAAGGAGCGGCGGAGGAGG